CUUCCAACAGCAACACAAUGUGAUCCACCGGCAAGGAAGGACACCAAUGGAAGCUUGGUCACUGAUGAAGAUAUUAAGUAGAUUCGUUAUUGGACUGACCUCAUGAAGACGAGCACCACUGAUGUCAUCUCCAGCUAAUUCAGCUUAGAAGCCCUUUUAAGCACAACACUCCAAUAAUCUGGGCAAUUACUUAGAUGUCCCUGCUACAAGUUCGAACCUUGGCAUCAGCACCAGGGAUGUAGGGACACUACUAUCAGGAUGAUUUGGAUAUCACCACCCUCCUUGUAUAAGAAAACAAUCCUCAUUUUCUCAUAGGGUCAGUAUCAUGAUACAAUACACCUAGAAAGGGGGAUUGCUGUAAGGCCCUGAUGCCUAAGGUUGCAGUCUACCAUGUCCG
Molecule: long non-coding RNA, 397 nt
Filed under: Cricetulus griseus (Chinese hamster)
Lineage: Eukaryota; Metazoa; Chordata; Mammalia; Rodentia; Cricetidae
Description: lncRNA (ENSCGRG00015031392.1)
Source: RNAcentral